This 255-nucleotide ribosomal RNA is filed under the name uncultured bacterium. RNAcentral describes it as "partial 16S ribosomal RNA". It matches the Rfam family "Bacterial small subunit ribosomal RNA", at positions 524 to 776 of the family's 1533-position model. The record is from RNAcentral.
UACAUGGGGUGCAAACGUUGCUCGGAAUUAUUGGGCGUAAAGCGCACGUAGGCGGUUCGUUAAGUCGGAUGUGAAAGCCCUCGGCUCAACUGAGGAAGUGCACCCGAAACUGGCGAGCUUGAGUACGAAAGAGGAUCGCGGAAUUCCCGGUGUAGAGGUGAAAUUCGUAGAUAUCGGGAGGAACACCGGGUGGCGAAGGCGGCGAUCUGGGUCGAUACUGACGCUGAGGCGCGAAAGCAUGGGGAGACGAACAGG